This is a long non-coding RNA of Salvia hispanica, 436 nucleotides long. RefSeq lists it as uncharacterized. Lineage: Eukaryota; Viridiplantae; Streptophyta; Magnoliopsida; Lamiales; Lamiaceae. The record is from RefSeq and is a predicted model, not a curated record.
AAAACAUGAGAUAUCAUAUUUCUUCCUCAUUUUUUCUUCUCUACCAAAAUGUCGACAACCCCUCUUCCUCCCUCCAUAACCACUUUCUUCACAAAAUUCCAUCUUUAUUGAUGAAUUGAUGAAGCAAUUGCAUGAUUGGAUUAUUUUGGAGCUACACCCAAAUCAUAGCAAAGGAAAGGAAAAAGGAUCGGCGAAAGAAGAAAUGUCGAAUGGAAAGGUUUGGACAUAAACGUCAUCCAGGUUAGUCGGCAUUGAAGAGUACCAGUUGAUGUUUCUUCAUGUCUGUCUCAACGCUGCAUCCUUGGCGGGUCACUGAGCUCUAUUAGUAAUAGAUCUUUCGAAUGGUUAGCUGUAGCAUGUUAGUACUAAUAUUUUAUACUAAGUUACUUCUGCUGUAACCGUAAAUGUUAAAUAAAUUUAAAUAUUUGGAUUUGAA